GAGCUGUAGCCUCGUGUACGGGAUUAGUGCCCCCCAACCA
RNAcentral lists this transfer RNA (40 nucleotides) under Cyrtodactylus consobrinus. RNAcentral describes it as "partial tRNA-Tyr". RNAcentral also lists the same sequence under 1 other name. Lineage: Eukaryota; Metazoa; Chordata; Lepidosauria; Squamata; Gekkonidae. The record is from RNAcentral.